GAUGAAGAACGCAGCGAAAUGCGAUACGUAAUGUGAAUUGCAGAAUUCAGUGAAUCAUCGAGUCUUUGAACGCACAUUGCGCCCUCUGGUAUUCCGGAGGGCAUGCCUGUCCGAGCGUCAUUGCUGCCCUCAAGCACGACUUGUGUGUUGGGCUCCGUCCCCCGAUCCCGGGGGACGGGCCCGAAAGGCAGCGGCGGCACCGCGUCCGGUCCUCGAGCGUAUGGGGCUUUGUCACCCGCUCUGUAGGCCCGGCCGGCGCUUGCCGAUCAACCAAAUUUUUAUCCAGGUUGACCUCGGAUCAGGUAGGGAUACCCGCUGAACUUAAGCAUAUCAAUAAGCGGAGGA
This 345-nucleotide unclassified non-coding RNA is filed under the name soil metagenome. RNAcentral's name for it is "partial contains 5.8S ribosomal RNA, internal transcribed spacer 2, and large subunit ribosomal RNA". The stretch from base 1 to 120 matches the Rfam family "5.8S ribosomal RNA", at positions 35 to 154 of the family's 154-position model. The record is from RNAcentral.